This 449-nucleotide ribosomal RNA is filed under the name uncultured bacterium. RNAcentral describes it as "bacterial SSU rRNA". It matches the Rfam family "Bacterial small subunit ribosomal RNA", at positions 328 to 794 of the family's 1533-position model. The record is from RNAcentral.
UUUCCAGACUCCUACGGGAGGCAGCAGUGGGGAAUAUUGCACAAUGGGGGAAACCCUGAUGCAGCGACGCCGCGUGAGUGAAGAAGUAUUUCGGUAUGUAAAGCUCUAUCAGCAGGGAAGAUAAUGACGGUACCUGACUAAGAAGCCCCGGCUAACUACGUGCCAGCAGCCGCGGUAAUACGUAGGGGGCAAGCGUUAUCCGGAUUUACUGGGUGUAAAGGGAGCGUAGGUGGCAGGGCAAGUCAGAUGUGAAAACCCGGGGCUCAACCCCGGGAGUGCAUUUGAAACUGUCCAGCUGGAGUGCAGGAGAGGUAAGCGGAAUUCCUAGUGUAGUGGUGAAAUGCGUAGAUAUUAGGAGGAACACCAGUGGCGAAGGCGGCCUGCUGGACGAUGACUGACGUUGAGGCUCGAAAGCGUGGGGAGCAAACAGGAUUAGAUACCCCCGUACA